Molecule: ribosomal RNA, 272 nt
Filed under: uncultured Methylobacterium sp.
Lineage: Bacteria; Pseudomonadati; Pseudomonadota; Alphaproteobacteria; Hyphomicrobiales; Methylobacteriaceae
Description: partial 16S ribosomal RNA
Rfam family: Bacterial small subunit ribosomal RNA
Source: RNAcentral
UCGAACGGGCUUCUUCGGAAGUCAGUGGCAGACGGGUGAGUAACACGUGGGAACGUGCCCUUCGGUUCGGAAUAACUCAGGGAAACUUGAGCUAAUACCGGAUACGCCCUUAUGGGGAAAGGUUUACUGCCGAAGGAUCGGCCCGCGUCUGAUUAGCUUGUUGGUGGGGUAACGCGCCUACCAAGGCGACGAUCAGUAGCUGGUCUGAGAGGAUGAUCAGCCACACUGGGACUGAGACACGGCCCAGACUCCUACGGGAGGCAGCAGAAGGG